RNAcentral lists this unclassified non-coding RNA (347 nucleotides) under Hevea brasiliensis (rubber tree). Lineage: Eukaryota; Viridiplantae; Streptophyta; Magnoliopsida; Malpighiales; Euphorbiaceae. The record is from RNAcentral.
UAAGUGCUCAUGGGGAAGCAAGCCAACUCCACCAGGAAGCAGCACGAACCCUCUACCACCUCCUGUUAUCAGACAACUCCCUGGUAUUUCAGCCAUGGGUCUUGCGAUGUACGAGAGGCAGGUUGCUUUGGCUAGGAUGACUGGUAUGCAGACUCUCAUGCAACACCAGGGACAGCGAAUUGGCGUUGCUAGUCAGGUUCUGUAUGAUGGUGGCAUUGCUUCCCCGCAGCCACCGGUAUACUACUAGUUGUUGAUUCAAUAAAAACUUGUAAACACCUGUUGUUGUUAGUUCUCUGUGCUAUUUUAAGUGAUAGAAUCCUCCUCUCUUUUUUUUUUAUCUAUUGUUA